GCUGGCGGCAGGCUUACACAUGCAAGUCGAGCGAGAGUGAUGGUGCUUGCACUAUCACUUAGCGGCGGACGGGUGAGUAAUGCUUAGGAAUCUGCCUAUUAGUGGGGGACAACAUCUCGAAAGGGAUGCUAAUACCGCAUACGUCCUACGGGAGAAAGCAGGGGAUCACUUGUGACCUUGCGCUAAUAGAUGAGCCUAAGUCGGAUUAGCUAGUUGGUGGGGUAAAGGCCUACCAAGGCGACGAUCUGUAGCGGGUCUGAGAGGAUGAUCCGCCACACUGGGACUGAGACACGGCCCAGACUCCUACGGGAGGCAGCAGUGGGGAAUAUUGGACAAUGGGGGGAACCCUGAUCCAGCCAUGCCGCGUGUGUGAAGAAGGCCUUAUGGUUGUAAAGCACUUUAAGCGAGGAGGAGGCUCUUUUGGUUAAUACCCAAGAUGAGUGGACGUUACUCGCAGAAUAAGCACCGGCUAACUCUGUGCCAGCAGCCGCGGUAAUACAGAGGGUGCAAGCGUUAAUCGGAUUUACUGGGCGUAAAGCGCGCGUAGGCGGCCAAUUAAGUCAAAUGUGAAAUCCCCGAGCUUAACUUGGGAAUUGCAUUCGAUACUGGUUGGCUAGAGUGUGGGAGAGGAUGGUAGAAUUCCAGGUGUAGCGGUGAAAUGCGUAGAGAUCUGGAGGAAUACCGAUGGCGAAGGCAGCCAUCUGGCCUAACACUGACGCUGAGGUGCGAAAGCAUGGGGAGCAAACAGGAUUAGAUACCCUGGUAGUCCAUGCCGUAAACGAUGUCUACUAGCCGUUGGGGCCUUUGAGGCUUUAGUGGCGCAGCUAACGCGAUAAGUAGACCGCCUGGGGAGUACGGUCGCAAGACUAAAACUCAAAUGAAUUGACGGGGGCCCGCACAAGCGGUGGAGCAUGUGGUUUAAUUCGAUGCAACGCGAAGAACCUUACCUGGGCCUUGA
RNAcentral lists this ribosomal RNA (958 nucleotides) under Acinetobacter sp. M.negtv.23.1. RNAcentral's name for it is "bacterial SSU rRNA". It matches the Rfam family "Bacterial small subunit ribosomal RNA", at positions 35 to 984 of the family's 1533-position model. The record is from RNAcentral. Lineage: Bacteria; Pseudomonadati; Pseudomonadota; Gammaproteobacteria; Moraxellales; Moraxellaceae.